CUUCAUACUGUCACUUGUAUAUGAAUGCUGCUCAUAUUUAGUCAUUUGGAAUCUUGAGAGUUCAAGUACUGGACGGUGGUCCCUAAAUAAUGAAUCAAGUCUUCUCAUCUCAUAAAUUGCUUAAGGUAUAAACCAAUCAUUCAUGAUCUAAUGAUAGCUCUUCACAACAGGGAACUCCGGCGACCUUCUCUGGGAGUUUAUGCUACAAACUUUUACACAGCUGAAAUAUAUUUCAUAGAAAAGGUUAUUCAAAAGAAUCCGAGUAUUUGCAAUGGAGUUUUUGUUGAGAAGGUA
This 294-nucleotide long non-coding RNA is filed under the name Trifolium pratense (red clover). Its description in RNAcentral is "long non-coding RNA (TPRA_LNC008443)". The record is from RNAcentral. Lineage: Eukaryota; Viridiplantae; Streptophyta; Magnoliopsida; Fabales; Fabaceae.